This 484-nucleotide ribosomal RNA is filed under the name uncultured bacterium. RNAcentral's name for it is "partial 16S ribosomal RNA". It matches the Rfam family "Bacterial small subunit ribosomal RNA", at positions 30 to 507 of the family's 1533-position model. The record is from RNAcentral.
AUUGAACGCUGGCGGCAGGCCUAACACAUGCAAGUCGAGCGGAUGAAGGGAGCUUGCUCCUGGAUUCAGCGGCGGACGGGUGAGUAAUGCCUAGGAAUCUGCCUGGUAGUGGGGGAUAACGUCCGGAAACGGGCGCUAAUACCGCAUACGUCCUGAGGGAGAAAGUGGGGGAUCUUCGGACCUCACGCUAUCAGAUGAGCCUAGGUCGGAUUAGCUAGUUGGUGGGGUAAAGGCCUACCAAGGCGACGAUCCGUAACUGGUCUGAGAGGAUGAUCAGUCACACUGGAACUGAGACACGGUCCAGACUCCUACGGGAGGCAGCAGUGGGGAAUAUUGGACAAAGGGCGAAAGCCUGAUCCAGCCAUGCCGCGUGUGUGAAGGAGGUCUUCGGAUUGUAAAGCACUUUAAGUUGGGAGGAAGGGCAGUAAGUUAAUACCUUGCUGCUUUGACGUUACCAACAGAAUAAGCACCGGCUAACUUCGUG